UGUGUUUUCAGUGAUUUUCCCCAAGACUUUUUGUUUUGUUUUGUUUUUUUGAGACAGUGUCUUGCUCUGUUGCCCAGGCUGGAGUGCAGUGGUACAAUCUCAGCUCACUGCAGUCUCAGCCUUCUGGGCUCAAGUCAUCCUCCCUCUUCCCACCCAAACCUCCCCGGUAGCUGGGACUACAGGCAUGUGUCACCACGCCCAGUUGAUUCUUGUAUUUUUUGUAGAGACGGGGUUUCACCACGUUGCCUAGGCUGGUCUUGAAUGCCUAGGCUCAAGCGAUCCGCCUGCCUUGGCCUCUAAAAGUGCUGGGAUUACAGGCAUGAGCCACAAUACCUGGCCUUCCCCAAGACUUUUAAGUGAAACUUAGAAUCAAAUAAUGCACUUCCAGCAAUCCUGAACAAAUCUGAUUUUUCAAGACAUUGCUGAAACACUUCAAUUUGAGAAAUGUUUAUUCCGACCCAAAGCCAUACCCAGGGCAGCUGUCUUCUUUUUCCCUUUAUUCCAUAAGGUAAGAAAAAAACAUACUCACAGAGCCUUAGAGUUGUAAAGGCACCUGGUCACCUGGAAGGUGACUUGAAAGAACCCCUGCCCCUCCUCUUGCAUAUACCUCUGGAUUGUUGGGGAAUCUGCAUUCAUUUCUUCACCCGCACUGCCUCUGUACAGAACCCCGCUGAGUCAGUGUCUGUUCCAGGUUAUCUAGCAGAAUCGAGAGCUAACCCACAACUUACAUCUCAAGUUUGGUAGUUAAUCUCAUAAUUUUUUAAAAAUGAAAACAGCCAGGAUUUAUGCAGUUCCAAGAGCCAGCCGGGUAAAAUAUAGACCCAACUCUGUUUUGGUGAAUGGAGGGGAGAUGAGAAGAGAAAAACCUCCCAGAACAAAGGAGGAGGUAUAAUUAUGUUUGCCUCAGAGAAAACUGGGAGAGAAACCAUUCAUCUUCCAUUCAUUCAUCUUCCGUUCCCAGAUCUUGGAAGAAUAGUCACUGUAAUGUGGGGGCUAGAAGCAUUGGCUUAUGAAGUGGACAGGCAAAGGUAGGUUUUCAGCUCCACCACAUCCUAGCUAGGUAAACUUGGACAAGUUGCUUAAACUCUCCACUACUCCAAGAGGUUACAGAUCACUGAAAGUACAGACAUUGGCAAGUAUUUUUUGGAAACACAUUAUGGGUCCUAAGGACUAUAAUAUAGUCUAUAAAUCUGGAAUUUUAUGCUGGAAAAUACAACUUGUUUUCAAAUGGAAAAUGAUUGUGUUUUGUAUAAAACAACAGAGUCACAUUUUAAGACCAGGCUGGAUAACAUAACAAGACCCCUUCUCUACAAAAAAUAAUAAAAAUAAGCCAGUUAUAAAGAGAGCUGAAUAAUAACAAAAGAAAAAAGAAAAAAAUUAGCUAGGUGUGGUGGUGUGUUUGGGAGGCUGAGGCAGGAGGAUCACUAGGGAUCAGGAAAUCAUGACCAGCCUGGGCAACAUAGCAAGACUCCCAUCUCUACCAAAAAAAAAAAAAUUGUUUUUAAUUAGCUGGGCAUGGCAGUGUGCUUGGAAGGCUGUGGUGGGAGGAUCACUUGAGCCCAGGAGUUUGAGGUUAUGGUGAACUAUGAUUGCAGCAUUGCACUCCAGUCCAGGCAACAGAGCAAGACAGUGUCUCUGAAAAUAAAAAUAAAACAGCAGAGUCACAUUUUCAAAUUGUAGAUGCCAACCUCUUCUUUCCCAGGCCUGACUGCCUCACACACUUUGUUUAGUAUAGAGCACUUCCCCAUAAGCCACCAAGCCCCAGUUAUGGCGUAAUUCAAACCCUGCCCCUAGAAUUUCAUGUAGGAGGGUCACAGGUCUGUGUGCUCAGCAAAUGUUUGCUGUCCUCUGCUGGGAAUUUUGUUCCAGGUCACACUAACAGGGCAGAUACUUGGCAGCCUGUGACCAGGUCCAGCCCACUCAUUGGUCAGAUGGAAAUUUUCUUUCCAGUUUGGAGGAGGGAGCAACUGGAGAAAGCUUAUCCAAGGUUCAUCGCUGUGACAUUUUUCCUGCUUUGUGGACCCCAUUUCUGCUUGUGACCAGUGAUCAAAUUUUAUACAUACUUAGACAUAUUUUGAAGACAUGAGUACCCUACUGUUUCACGUAGACCUCUGGGAACUGUCAAACUUCUUUCCUACCAAAUUCCUUUUUUCUUUUUUUUUUAGACAGAGUCUCACUCACUCUGUUACCCAGGCUGGAAUGCAGUGGUGCGAUCUCAGCUCACUGCAAACUCUGCCUCCUCAGGUUCAAAUGAUUCUCCUAACUCAGUCUCCCGAAUAGCUGGGAUUACAGGUGCACGACACCAUGCCCAGCUAAUUUUUGUAUUUUUAGUAGAGACGGGGUUUCACCAUGUUGGCCAGGAUGGUCUCCAACUCCUGACCUCAAGUAAUUCACCCGCCUCAGCCUCCCAAAGUGCUGGGAUUACAGGCGUGAGCCACUGCGCCCAGCCCUUGGCUACCAAAUAUCUAAAGAUAGAAGAAAGGAUGAGAUUAAUGAUAGACUAAGAAGAGUUUGGGAAUGCCUGUUGGUAAUUAGGGUGGACUGUCUUUGGAAAUAAUAAUAGGUAACAAAUAUGUGUUUUCUCUAUGUCAUGUGCUGUGUUAAAUACAGGAUCUUAUUCAAAGCUCAGCCCUCAUUUUGGAGACAAGGAAACUGAGGCUCAAAGAGGUUAAGCAACUUGUCCAAGGUUACCUAGCUAGGUGGUGGAGCUGAAAACCUACUUAUGCCUGUCUAUUUCAUAAGCCAAUGCUUCUAGCCCCCAUGUUACAGUGACUACUCUUCCAAGGUCUGGGAAUGGAAGACGAAUGAAUGGAAGAUGAAUGGUUUCUCUCCCGGUUUUCUCUGAGGCAAACAUAAUUAUACUUCUUCCUCUGUUCCUGGAGGUUUUUUCUUCUCAUAUCACCUUUAUUCAACAAAACAGAAUGGGUCUAUAUUUUAUCCAGCUGGCUCUUGGAACCACAUAAAUCCUGGUUGUUUUCAUGGAAAAAAAAAAAAGAAAGAACAGAAAAAGUACAGCUUGCUAUCUUAUCCCACAUGAAUAUCAGAUGUGCAAAGUCAGCUAUAAAUAAGAGGAUAUUUUGGCCAGGCACAUUGGCUCACGCCUGUAAUCCCAGUGCUUAGGGAGGCCUAGGCGGGCUGAUCACUUAAGGUCAGGAGUUCAAGAUCAGCCUGGCCAACAUAGCGAAACCCCGUCUCUACUAAAAAUACUAAAAAAAAAAAAAAAAUUAGCCGGGCAUGGUGGCAGGUGCCUGUAGUCUCAGCUACUCAGGAGGCUGACCCAGGAGAAUCACUUGAACCCAGGAGGCAGAGGUUGUGGUGAGCUGAGAUUGCGCUACUGCACUCCUGCCUGGGUGAUAGAGUGAGACUUUGUCUCAAAACAAAACAACAAAACAAAAACAGGAUAUUUUUUAAAAUGCUGAGAGUCCCUAAUUCAUUCUCAGGAAAUUCAGUCUCCUACAAGCCAGAUCAUGCACAAAUUCUCAGCAUCACCUAAAGCCUAAGCCACCUCACCAAAGGGGGAGGGAGGGAUCAGUUGUUACCAUUUUGCAGUCAAAGCCCCAGGGUGUGUGUCUGAGAAGACUGAACUUGAGUAAAUUAAGCUCUUCAGAUAAAUACGGUUUGCUGAAAUUAAACAUGAAACAUUCUGCAAAAGUAGGUGUACUAUCCGGAAGCCAAGUAAUUAACAUCAAUGCAGGACCCCGGAACAGAAAAAGGUCAUUAAAGGAAAAACUGGUGAAAUCCAAAUAAAGACUAGAGUUUAGUUCCUAGCAAUGUGUCAGUGUUGGUUUCUCAGUUUUGACAAAUGUGCCACAGUGGUGUAAGCUGUUAACAUUAGGGGAAACCGGAACCGGGUGAGGGCGUGCCUGAGAAUUAUCUGUGCUAGCUUUGAAACAUUUCUGUACAUUUGGCUGAGCUCAUGCCUAUAAUCCCAGCACUUUGGGAGGCCGAGGCGGGUGGAUCACAUGAGGUCAGGAGUUCAAGACCAGCCUGGCCAACAUGGUGAACCCUCAUCUCUACUAGGAGGUUGCAGUGAGCUGGGAUUGUGCCACUGCACUCCAGCCUGGGUGACAGAGCAAGACUGCGUCUCAAAAGAAAAGAAAUUUUUCUGUACAUUUAAAUUAUGCCAAAAUAAAAAGUUUAAAAUUUCAGUACCAAUGAACUGGUUUUCUUUCUUAUAGGAAUACUGAAGGGGGCUUGUAACACUUAAACUUCUUUCUCUGGAGACAGGGUCUCACUCUGUUGCCCAGGUUGGAAUGCAGUGGCAUGAUCACAGCUCACUGCAGCCUCGACUUCCUGGACUCAGGUGUUUCUCCCACCUCAGCCUCCUGAGAAACUGGGACUACCAGUGCACGCCACCAUGGCUGGCUAAUUUUUUGUAUUUUUUGUAGAGAUGGGGUCUCACCAUGUUGCCCAGGCUGGUCUUGAGCUCCUGAGUUCAAGGGAUCCGCCCACCUCAACCUCCCAAAGCGCUGGGAUUACAGGCAUGACCCACCGCAUCCGGCUAAGCUUCUCUCAAACAAGAUAAAGCUUGCUUCUCUUGCUACCUUUGAACCUCAGCAUAAAGAAUAGUUACCAACAAUGGAGAGUUUGUGCUUUCUUUUAAAAAAAAAAAGCAAAACCAGAUGCAGAGCCAGGUCAGUGCCAAGUGAAAAAGAGCCAUGCGAUAUCUUCGCAUUUUUUGAAUGAAUCUUUUCCUUUUGUUGUCAUGCCCUUUUAGUGUCAUUUUUAAUUGACUGGGCAAAUGAACUGCAGCAUUUUGUAGAUGCCAAAGAGGUACUGAAUUUCUUAGAACCCAAGUGCACACAAGUGAACUUCAGGAAGUUUUGCAACUUUUUUUCCAGAAAGUGGUGGGCAGCCACAGGACCGAAGGAAACACCCGUCAACAUAACCAAGAGGAUUUCCUGCCCACACACUCAGCGUCUCAACGUUAUUUGAACGGUUUGUAGAUGUCUUUCUUUAGAAAUAUACUAAUAAAAUUGGAAAUACGGGAUCAGUAGUCCUAGCAAACCAAAAUGACUUCAUCCAUUUCUGGAGAAUAAUGAAGUCCUAUGCAUUCAAGUUGUUUUCUUUUUUCUUCUUUCUUUCUUUUUUUUUUUAAGACCUUUUCUUGGUUAUGACAAAUGUAACACAAUAAUUUUUUUUUUUUUGAGAUGGAGUCUUGCUCUGUCGCCCAGGCUGGAGUGCAGUGGCACGAUCUCAGCUCAUUGCAACCUCCGCCUCCCAGGUUCAAGUGAUUCUUCUGCCUCAGCCUCCCGAGUACCUGGGACUACAGGCGCUCGCCACCAAGCCCAGCUAAUUUUUGCAUUUUUAGUAGAGACAGGGUUUCACCAUAUUGGCCAGGCUGGUCUCGAACUCCUGACCUCGUGAUCCACCCACUUUGGCUUCCCAAAAUGCAGGGAUUACAGGUGUGAGCCACCGCGCCUGGCUGUAACACAAUAAUUUAAGAUGACAACAUUCGAGGAAGUUAGAACUGAGAAGAGGGUACACAGCAUUUUCUGCGAGAUUGACUCAACUUUGAUUCCAUCAAGGAAACAAAAAUAUUGUAUAGAAAUUUACUCUUCAUUCUCUCCCAAAACAUUUAAGAGUUUUUCAUUUUUCUUUGUAAGAAUAUAAAAGGUUUUCCUAAACUCUUUGCAUUCUUUUCCUUUUUCUUCUUCUUUUUUUUUUUUUUUUUUUUUGAGACAGGGUCUCUCUCUGUCACCCAAGCUGGAGUGCAGUGGCACUACCACUACCAUGCCUCACUGCAGCCUGGACCUCCUGGGCUCAAGUGAUCCUUCCACCUCAGCCUUCCAAGUAGCUGGGACUGCAGGCAUGCACCAUGACUCCCGGCUAAUUUUUGUAUUUUUUGUAGAGACAGCGUCCCACUUCGUUGCCCAAGCUGGUCCAGAACUCCUGGAAUAUGCCCGCCUCGGAUUUCCAAAGUGCUGGGAUUAUAGGCGUGAGCCACCUGCACCCGGCCUCUUUUUCCAUUAAUUGGUAUGUUUAAAACAAUGAGCAACAUACCUUCCUUGCUAGAAUCUGCCUCUUGACUCUAGCAUUGGAAUCUAUAAAAUACAAUGCCAAGCAAAGGCAUAGGACACGAGUCCUUUACAAUGAGUGUUGAAAUCAUGGCAUCAGGGACCCAGAAUUCCUGAAUUAUAUUCCUAUUCUUUGCCCAAGCCAUUUUUAUUUUAUUUUAUUUUACUUUAUUUAGAGAUGGGGUCUCGCUCUAUAGCCCAGGCUGGAGUGCAGUGGCAUGAUCAUAGCUCACUGCAGCCAUGAACUCCUGGGCUCAAGCUCAAGCAAUCCUCCUGCCUCAGCCUCCCAGGUAGCUAGGACUACAGGCACAAGCCACCACACCUGGCUUCCCGAACAAUUUUAAAAUUCAUUUAGUCAAUAAACAGGGAGAUGCAGAAAUGAGUCAAAGAGCCUUCAAGGACCAUACAGUGUAAUCUGGAGAUACAGACAGGUAACAGUGCUGCAGCUGUUAUGUUGGAAGUUUGUGGGGGACAUGUGGGAACAAAGCAGGUAUAGAUUGGAGUGGUGUUUGACCUGACUUGAGAGUAGUGAUCUCAGUGGGGGAGAUCUUGGCCCCCAGGGGACAUUCUGCAAUGUCCAAAGACAAUUUUGGUUGUCACAACUUGGAGGAGGGGAGGGGUGCCACUGGCAUCUGGUGGGCAGAGGCCAGGGAUACUGUUAAACAUCCUAUAAGGGACAGAGCUGCCCCUCACCACAAAGAAUUGUCCAGCCCCACAUGUCAAUAACACUGAGGUUGAGAAACUGUAGUUUAAACAAACAGAAGAAAUGGGGUUUACCAGGCAAACUAAACAGAGAAGAAUAAUUCAGGGAAGUGGUAAGACAGGAGUGAGGGAUGGACAGAUAAGCUGGAGAUGUAAUCUGUAUGCUUAAGCUGAUUAUUUUUUCCCUUUGAACCUUAAUUUUCCCAUUCACAAAAUAGUGAUGCUAUAAUGUGGAAUGACUCACCUCUUUUCCUGGUAUCAGAAGAAAGUGCCACUGAUAAAAAUUGUGUGCCUGGGUCCCACCUACUUCUAAUUGUCCUGCUCAAGCCUACCUGUUCCUCAGCAGUGCUGGUAGCUUAUUGAUGAGAACAAAGACGGUACUUGGGAAAUCUAAGGAAGGGCAAUGUGGCAGGUAAAAUUGUCAGUAAGCCGGGCGUGGUGGCUCACGCCUGUAAUCCCAGCACUGUGGGAGGCCGAGGCAGGCUGAUCACCUGAGGUUGAGACUUCGAGACCAGCCUGACAAACAUGGAGAAACCUCGUCUCUACUAAAAAUACAAAAUUAGCCGGGCACGGUGGCGCAUGCCUGUAGUCCCAGCUACUCGGGAGGCUGAGGCAGGAGAAUGGCGUGAACCCAGGAGGCGGAGCUUCCAGUGAGCCGAGAUUGCGCCACUGCACUCCAGCCUGGGCGACAGAGCAAGACUCGGUCUCAAAAAAAAAAAAAAAAUUGUCAGUAAAAGCGAGGACUGUAUUUAAUGGCAUGUAACAAGAACCCAGCUACCACAGGAAUUAUAAUUCUUAUGUAAUGUGACAUCUGGAAAUGGGCAGUCUAGAGCUAAAUGGCCACUCCAUGGUGCCAUCAGGAGCCCAGACUCCUUCUGUCUUUCCCCUCUGACGUCCUUAGCAUGUGACUCCAAUCCGCAUAUUUGUGAGAUGGCGGCUGAACCUCUCAAUCUUUGGAAGUUUCAUCAGCAUUCCAGGCAAGGAAGAGGGGAAAAAAGGAAAAGAGCAACAGGCAAAAGGUGAAAGCCUUCCCAGUUGAGUCUCCUCCACUUAACAAACUUUCCUGGAAUCGUCUGUGCCCAGAACUUCCACGUAUGUAUACAUUGGCCUGAACCACAUUAUGUAACUAUCCAUAAACUCCAGGGAGUCUGGAAGCUGAGUGUUUUCAAGUGGGCAUCUUGAACAAAAUAGUUUUUUUUAAUAAGGAAGAAAAAGUAUAAUAGGUGCCGUGUAGGUAACUAGAACUGUUGCCUUAGUGCUUUAAAAUGAGUACAUUCAGGGCCAGGAGCGGUGGCUCACGCCUGUAAUUCCAGCACUUUGGGAGGCCGAGGGGGGUGGAUCACCUGAGGUUGGGAGUUCAAGACCAGCCUCACCCACAUGGAGAAACCCCGUCUCUACUAAAAAUACAAAAUUAGCUGGGCAUGGUGGCACAUGCCUGUAAUUCCAGCUACUUGGGAGGCUGAGGCAGGAGAAUCGCUUGAACCCAGGAGGCAGAGGUUGGGGUGAGCUGAGAUGGCGCCAUUGCACUCCAGCCUGGGCAACAAGAGUGAGACUCCGUCUCAAAAAAAGAAAAAAAAAAUGAGUUCAUUCAGCUGGGAGCGGUAGCUCAUGCCUGUAAUUCCAGCACUUUGGGAGGGUGAGGCGGGUAGAUCACCUGAGGUCAGGAAUUCGAGACCAGCCUGGCCAAUGUAACAAAACCCCGUCUCUACUAAAAAUACAAACAAACAAAAGAAAUUAGCCAGGCAUGAUGGUGCAUGCCUGUAAUCCCAGCUACUUAGGAGGCUGAGACGGGAGAAUCAUUUGAACCCGGGAGGCGAAAGCUCCAGUGAGCCGACAUCAUGCCACUGCACUUCAGCCUGAGUGACAGAGUAAGACCCUGUCUCAAAAUAUAAUAAAAUAAAAUAAAGCAUAUUGCAGAUAAUGUAACCAUUCAAUAGUCAUUCGAAAAUAUUUAUUGAAUGCCAAGUAUGUACUCAGCACUAUCGUAAGCACAGAACACACAAAAAAUGGAACCACGAAUAACCCUAGCUUCUGCGUCUAAUGAGCUUGUUGAAAUCCAGUUGGGAAAAACAUACAACAUAAACAAUAAGAAGUUGGACAACCAUGAAAGAGUUAAAUAACAAUCUAUAAUAGCAAUAUAAAAAAGCAGUACAUCACUGGUGGGAAUGUAAAAUGGUAUAACCUAUAGCCACUUUGGAAAGCUGCUAAGUUUCUAAAAAAUUUAAACAUAGUAUUUACCAUAUGAUACUGCAAUUCCACUUAUAGGUAUUUACCUAAGAGAAAUGAAAAUAUAAAGAUUUCGCCAGGUCCCGUGGCUCACGCCUAUAAUCCCAACGCUUUGGGAGCCCAACUUAGGUGGAUUACCUGAGGUCAGGAGUUCCAGACCAGGCUGGCCAACAUGGUGAAACUCUGUCUCUACUAAAAAUACAAAAAUCAACCAGGCUUGGUGGCUUGUACCCGUAAUCCCAGCUACUCGGGAAGCUGAGGCAGGAGAAUCAAGAGUCGGAGGUUGCAGUAAGACAGUGAGCUGAGAUCGUGCCACUGCACUCCAGCCUGGGCAACAAAGCGAGAUUCCAUCUCAAAAAGAAAAAAAAAAGUGAGAAUGUUUCUUAAUUGAAAAAACAUAGGCCUGUCUGGGCACAGUGGCUCACACCUGUAAUCCCAACACUUUGGGAGGCCGAGGCGGGCGGAUCACAAGGUCAGGAGUUCUAUACCAGCCUGUCCAACAUGGUGAAACCGUCUCUACUAAAAAAACAAAAAUUAGAUGGGUAUGGUGGCAGGCGCCUGUAAUCCCAGGUACUCGGGAGGCUGAGGCAGGAGAAUUGCUUGAACCCAGGAGGCGGAGUUUGCAGUGAGCCGAGAUCGCGCCACUGCACUCCAGCCUGGGUGACAGAGGGAGACUCUGUCUCGAAAAAAAGAAAAAACAUAAGUCCUUGGUUGGGAGGAAAGUUGUACUGUUCAAAUUUUUUCUGUCUGCUCCCUCUGUUGAUUCUGAGAAUUGUAUUUAUCUCCCAUUGUGAUUUGUGGAUCAUUUUCAUCAUUUCAGUCUUUGUUUUAUACAUUUCUUUUCUUUUCUUUUUUUGAGACAGAGUUUCACUCUUGUUGCCCAGGUUGGAGUGCAAUGGUGCGAUCUCGGCUCACUGCAACCUCCCCUUCCCGGGUUCAAGUGAUUCUCCUGCCUCAGCCUCCUGAGUAGCUGGGAUUACAGGCGCCCACCACCACGCCCAGCUAAUUUUUGUUAUUUUUAGUAGAGAUAGCUGUUGGGAGCAAGCCCCCCAAAGUCUGGUCAUAAACUGGCCCCAAAACUGGCCAUAAAUAAAAUCUCUGCAGCAAUGUAACAUGUCCAUAAUGGCUAUAACGCCCAAGCUGGAAGGCUGUGGGUUUACGGAAAUGAGGGCAAGGAACACCUGGCCUGCCCAGGGCGGAAAACUGCUUAAAGGCAUUCUUAAGCCACAAACAAUAGCAUAAGCAAUUCAUGCCUUAAGAGCAUGCUCCCGCUGCAGUUAACUAGCCCAACCUAUUUCUUUAAUUCAGCCCAUCCCUUCGUUUCCCUUAAGGGAUACUUUUAGUUAAUUUAAUAUCUAUAGAAACAAUGCUAAUGACUGGUUUGCUGUUAAUAAAUAUGUGGGUAAAUCUCUGUUCAGGGUUCUCAGCUCUGAAGGUUGUAAGAUCCCUGAUUUCCCACUUCACACCUCUAUAUUUCCUUUUUUUUUUUUUUUUUUUUUGAGACAGAGUCUCACUCUCGCCCAGGCUGGAGUGCAGUGGCACGAUCUCUGCUCACUGCAAGCUCCGCCUCCCGGGUUCACGCCAUUCUCCCGCCUCAGCCUUCCGAGUAGCUGGGACUACAGGCGCCCGCCACUACGCCCGGCUAAUUUUUUGUAUUUUUAGUAGAGACGGGGUUUCACCGUGUUAGCCAGGAUGGUCUUGAUCUCCUGACUUCGUGAUCCGCCUGCCUCGGCCUCCGAAAGUGCUGGGAUUACAAGCGUGAGCCACCGCGCCCGGCCUCACACCUCUAUAUUUCUGUGUGUGUGUCUUUAAUUCCUCUAGCACUGCUGGGUUAGGGUCUCCCUGACCGAGCUGGUCUCGGCAGAUAAGGUUUCACCAUGUUGGCCAGGCUGGUCUCAAACUCCUGACUUCAGGGGAUCCCCGCCCCAGCCUCCCAAAGAGCUGGGAUUACGGGCAUGAGUCACCGUGCCCAGCCAAUUUUCUUUUGUUUUUUCUUUUGAGACAGGAUCUCACUCUGUCACCCAGGCUUGAAUGCAGUGGUACCAUCUCGGCUCACUGCAGCCUCAAUCUUCUGGGCUCAAAUGAUCCUCCCACCUUAGCCUCCCGAGCAGCUGGGGCUACAAGUGCACACUACCAAGCCCAGCUAAUUUUUUUUUUUUUUUUUUUUUUUUGAGACAGAGUCUUGCUGUGUCCCUCACCCAGGUUGGAGAGCAGUGGUUCGAUCUUGGCUCACUACAACCUCUGCCUCCCGUGUUCAAGCAAUUCUCGUGCCUCAGCCUCCUCAGUAGCUGGGAUUACAGGCACGUGCCACCAUGCCCAGUUAAUUUUUGUAUUUUUAAUAGAGACGGGGUUUCGCCAUGUUGACCAGGCUGGUCUUGAACCCCUGACCUCAGCCUCCCAAAGUGCUGAGAUUACAGGUGUGAGCCGACAUGCUAGGCCUAUACAUUUCAAAAUUAUGUUGCUAUGUUCAUAAAGAUGUAUAUAUGGUAACUUGUACCUUCAAUCAACAUGAAAUACCCUUCUUUGUCCUUUUAAUGCCUUUAUGAUAAAUUCUGUCUCAUAUUAAUAUUGCUACAUAUGCUUUCUUUCCAUAAACAUUUCCAUAAACAUAAAAAUGGCUGGUAAGUCAUUUUCCUUUUUUUUAAAAAAAUUUUUGUUUUUUAGAGGCAGGAGCUCAUUCUGUCUCCCAGGUUGGAGUACAAUGGUUCAAUCAUAGCUCAUAGUUUACUGCAGCCUCGAACUCCUGGGUUCAAGGGAUCUUACCACCUCCGUCUUCCGAGCAGCUGGGACUACAGGUGCAAGUCACCACGCCUGGUUAAUUUUUUUAAAUUUUUUGUAGAGACAAGGUCACAAUAUGUUUCCCAGCCUGGUCUUGAACUCCUGGCCUCAAGCAAUCCUCCUGCCUUGAGAAAUAUAGUAAACAAAAAAUGUGAAAUAACAUGGCAGAAAUAAGUCCAAAUAAAUAAAUAAUCAAAAAUAAAUACAAAUGAUUUAUAUUCUCUUCUUAAAAGAGAGCUCUGAGAAACCCCAAAGCCAGCUAUAUGUUGUUUAUAAAGAGACAUACAUAAAACAAAACAGCAUGAUUAAGAAGAUAAUAUAACCCAUUCACAUUUAUGUUUUAUUAUUUAUAUAUUUGGACUUAUUCCUGCCAUGUUAUUUUCUGUUUUCUGCUUACCAGUGUACAGUAUUUUUCUGUUUUCCCUUUUCUGGAAUGCCUAUUUAUUUCUGUUCCUGUUUUGUCCACCCUUUCCUGACUGAUUCUUUCUGAAUAAUGACUUUUUUUUUUUUUUUUUUUUUUUUUGAGAAAGUCUCACUCUGUUGACCAGGCUGGAGUGCAAUGGCACAAUCUUGGCUAAUUGCAACCUCUGCCUCCCAGGUUCAAGACAUUAUCCUGCCUCAGCCUCCCCAGUAGCUGAGAUUACAGGCGCCCCCCACCAUGUCCGGCUAAUUUUUGUAUUUUUAGUAGAGACUGGGUUUCACCAUGUUGGCCAGGCUGGUCUCGAACUCCUGAUCUCAGGUGAUCUGCCCACCUCGGCCUCCCAAAGUGCUGGGAUUACAGGGGUGAGCCACCGCGUUUGGCCUCAAAGACCGAGAACUUUGUAAUUUAUAUAUUUUAUAGCUCUUAUCACAGGUGUCUAGUAAAUAUUUUUAAACACUUAUGGCACCUGAUGCAAGAAUUACCAGGUUCAUUUUAUAGAGAGGAUAUGAAACUGUCCAAGGGUUUGGACUCACAUGUUCAAGACUGCAUGGACAGCAAUCUGUAGUGGGUCAAAUUAUUGUUUUUAGUAUGAUUUAAAGUGUUUGUCAAAAAUAUAAAAGUUUUGAAAACAAGCUGGGGAAGUGAAUUUCAAUAUCGCAUUAACUAAGAUCAAAGUGCAAUUCAUCAACCUUUUUUCCCCAUCCCGCACCCUGUGCUUUCUCUACUCAGUUACUCACUACACCCUGCUGGACUAAAAGGGUCCUCCAGCAUUUUCUUUCUUACACAGUGAAAGACAUUCUCUUGGCAUUAAUAAAUGUUCACUUAAUAAAUAAAAAGGGCCGGGCUCUGUGGUUCCUGCCUGCAAUCCCAGCAGUUUGGGAGGCCAAGGCAAGAGGAUCGCUUGAGCCUAGGAGUUCCAGCCUAGGCAACGUGGCGAAACCCAGUCUCAAAAAAAAAAAAAAGGAAAAAAAAGGCAUCAAAAAAUAAAACGUAACAGGUGGCAUGACAUGACAUGACUUUUCUAACAGCCUCUUACAGCUUUCCAAGGUCUUUUAAUAUGAAGCUAUAGGUCUCGGCUAGAAGACACCUCCAGACUUCUCCCAAAACAUUUCAGAGGCCCGGAGUAAGUCUCCCCACAUCUGAAGGCACAUCAGAACCCAGGUGGCCCAAGCUGAUGAGAGUUAAACAGGAAGUUGGUUUCUUGGUCCGGCAGAGACUCCAAUCACCCCCACCUCUUUUCCAACCCACAGGACAGCACGUGCUCAGGAGGCUCUGGAGUUGGGACAGCCCAGUUAAAAAAAAAAAAAUCAUUGAUUUCCCUCCCAACGAAGAGGGAGAAAACACGUUAGGAGACUCGUGGCCCAGUCCUGGCAAAAACCAAAACUAUGUCCCUUUAGAGGGCUUAGAUAUCAAGAGAUGGACUUGCUUUUAGUUCUUUUUCCCAUCCUGUUCCCUCCCUACCAAAAUAAAAUUGACCAGCUAAUCCGACUUAAUAACACUAAAGAAUUACUUAGGAACCUGCUAUCUUAACAUUUCACUUUUUGCAUAUCCUCCAAAUACCAGGUAGCAGUCUUACUACUGUUUGCACCCCUAGAACCUGGAAUAGUGCUGCCCGCAGAGGAGGAAGCAAUAAUUACUUGUUAGAGAAGGUAUUGCUGUGCAUUUCUGGGGAAUUUCACAUUUUGUAAUUUGCUUUAAAAAAAGUGGACAGGCAUAUUUACGGGGGUUUCUCGGACUUCUCCAUGUUAAUAUUCGUGUGUAUAAAUCGCUCCCGUGCUGCUCUCUGGGGGCCCCUCUUUCACAAACACCUGGCCACCCUCACGCCACAAUGGCCAGGCAGGAACCUCGACCUCCCCUCGGAGAGGGGGCUCAGGGUCAACCCCGGGGUCUCAGUCUCUACAUGUGACGUUUUCCUGUCCCCUCAUUUAAAAUAACAAGAGGCUGGGCGCAGUGGCUUACGCCUGUAAUCCCAGCACUUUGGGAGGCCGAGGCGGGCGAUCACGAGGUCAGGAGAUGGAGACCAUCCUGGCCAACACGGUGAAACCCCGCCUCUACUAAACUACAAAAAAUUAGCCGGGUGUGGUGGCGGGCGCCUGUAGUCCCAGCUACUCGGGAGGCUGAGGCAGGAGAAUUGCUUGAACCCGGAGGCGAAGGUUGCAGUGAGCUGAGAUCUCGCCACUGCACUCCAGCCUGGUGACAGAGCCUGACUCCGUCUCAAAAAAUAAGAAAAAAAAAUAAAAUAAAAAUAAUAGAGGCCGAAGCGGGAGGUUCACUUGAGCUCAGAAGUUCGAGAUCAGCCUGGGCAACACAGUGAGACCUCGUUUCUAUUUAAAAAAUAAAAUAAAACUAAAUUUAAAAAAAUGCACGCUCAUAGUACAAACUUUAGAAAUGGAACGAAAAACUAAAAUUGAAGGUAUUCCCCUCCAACCCAGAGAUAACACCUAUCGUUUAUUAAGCCCUCACUAUUGUUAAACUUA
Molecule: long non-coding RNA, 14621 nt
Filed under: Homo sapiens (human)
Lineage: Eukaryota; Metazoa; Chordata; Mammalia; Primates; Hominidae
Description: HSALNT0276692
Source: RNAcentral